RNAcentral lists this long non-coding RNA (974 nucleotides) under Musa acuminata (dwarf banana). RNAcentral describes it as "long non-coding RNA (MACU_LNC005070)". The record is from RNAcentral. Lineage: Eukaryota; Viridiplantae; Streptophyta; Magnoliopsida; Zingiberales; Musaceae.
UCAAUCCUUCUGUAUCUCUUUACCAUGGUUGUAGCCAUUUUCUAAUGCAUUUCCCAGCUGAAACUAGCUGCUGUUUGUUUCACUUGUCCUUCAAACCUCUUUCCCACAAUAGUAACCAUUUUCUAAUGCAUUUCCCAACAAAACUUCCACCUACCAUUCUGAUUAACGAACCACAAUCUUAGCCAGAAAAUAACCGUUGCUGACAAACCAAUUAUACUUGUAGAACAUCAGAACAGAAAAAAACGCAAAUGGGGCUGAAGACUUUCCAAGCCAGAAAAUACUUGAGAUAACCGUAAAAAUGUAGCUGAAGGGAGCAUGACAAGAGCUAUUGAACCAUCAAAGGAAUGGGCGUAAUCAUACCAUAUCUGCACUGUGAAGGUUGACAGCUCAUUUUCUUUCUCGAUAUACAUCUGAAUUUGCAAUCUGUAUUCAAUCCCAUGAGGCAUAACUUUUCAUGUUACCUAACUGCAGUUCUUCACCAUUGAACUGGGAAGUAAAUAAGACCUGUCGAUGGAGAGCCAGAUGCAGGAUUAAUAAUUAUCAUAUACUAGAAGAUCUAACAGAGUUUCUUUGUGGUCAAGAAUCCAAAUUCUUAUUCAUUAAUGAACACAAAAUUGCAAAAUAGGCAUGUUUCAAGUUGUAGAAUCUGCCCAAAAUAUGGGAGGCUAAAGCAUCCCUAAACGGACACAGCUAAUCAACCAAGUAAAACAGAAUUCCAUUCACAAGGAAACUAACGUUUAUAGAAAAUCCCAUACUGGUAUGGUAAAUUGUAAGGCAUUUACAUCUGAGACUGGGCAAGUCUGCACAUCAUUCUGUAAAAUUAGUUCAUGAAAUAUAUUACUUGUCUACGACUUAAUUGGUCUACCAUCAUGUGGUGCAUAUAAGCAGCAUUUUGUAUAUUUUAAAACAGAUCAAACAACGGCAGCACCAAAAAGAUAAGAGCAAAAUUGAAACAGUAAGUUUCUUGCAAGUAC